Callithrix jacchus (white-tufted-ear marmoset) is the source of this 298-nucleotide unclassified non-coding RNA. It matches the Rfam family "Metazoan signal recognition particle RNA". From Rfam's summary of the family: The signal recognition particle (SRP) is a universally conserved ribonucleoprotein. It is involved in the co-translational targeting of proteins to membranes. The eukaryotic SRP consists of a 300-nucleotide 7S RNA and six proteins: SRPs 72, 68, 54, 19, 14, and 9. Lineage: Eukaryota; Metazoa; Chordata; Mammalia; Primates; Cebidae. The record is from Ensembl.
GCUGGGCGCAAUGGUAUGUGCCUGUAGUCCUAGCUACUCGGAGGCUCAGGCGGGAGGAUGGCUUGAGCCCAGGGGUUCUGGGCUGCAGUGUGCUAUGGUGAUUGGAUGUCCGCACUAAGUUCAUCAUCAAUAUGGUCACCUCCCAGGAACAGGGAGUUACCAAGUUGCCUAGAAGAGGUGAACCAUUCCAGGUCAGAAACGGAGAAAGUAAAAACUCCCAUACUGAUCAGUAGUGAGAUCUCACCUAUAAAUAGCCACUGCACUCCAGCCUGGGCAACAUAGUGAGACUCUAUCUCUA